Molecule: ribosomal RNA, 494 nt
Filed under: uncultured bacterium
Lineage: Bacteria
Description: partial 16S ribosomal RNA
Rfam family: Bacterial small subunit ribosomal RNA
Source: RNAcentral
GACGAACGCUGGCGGCGCGCUUAACACAUGCAAGUCGAACGGAAAGGCCUGCUUUCCCUUGUGGAUUGCGGGUACUCGAGUGGCGAACGGGUGAGUAACACGUGAGUGAUCUGCCCCCAACUUGGGUAUAAGCCUGGGAAACUGGGUCUAAUUCCCGAUAGGACUGCAGGGUGGUGCCUGUGGUGGAAAACGAUUUUCUAGUGGUUGGGGAUGAGCUCGCGGCCUAUCAGCUUGUUGGUGGGGUAAUGGCCUACCAAGGCGGCGACGGGUAGCCGGCCUGAGAGGGUGGACGGCCACAUUGGGACUGAGAUACGGCCCAGACUCCUACGGGAGGCAGCAGUGGGGAAUAUUGCGCAAUGGGCGGAAGCCUGAUGCAGCGACGCCGCGUGGGGGAUGACGGCCUUCGGGUUGUAAACUCCUUUCGACCGCGAGGAAGCCACCUGGUUGGAAGGGUGGUGACGGUAGUGGUAGAAGAAGCACCGGCUAACUACGUG